GACGAACGCUGGCGGCGUGCCUAAUACAUGCAAGUUGAGCGCUGAAGGUUGGUACUUGUACCAACUGGAUGAGCAGCGAACGGGUGAGUAACGCGUGGGGAAUCUGCCUUUGAGCGGGGGACAACAUUUGGAAACGAAUGCUAAUACCGCAUAAAAACUUUAAACACAAGUUUUAAGUUUGAAAGAUGCAAUUGCAUCACUCAAAGAUGAUCCCGCGUUGUAUUAGCUAGUUGGUGAGGUAAGGGCUCACCAAGGCGAUGAUACAUAGCCGACCUGAGAGGGUGAUCGGCCACAUUGGGACUGGGACACGGCCCAAACUCCUACGGGAGGCAGCAGUAGGGAAUCUUCGGCAAUGGACGAAAGUCUGACCGAGCAACGCCGCGUGAGUGAAGAAGGUUUUCGGAUCGUAAAACUCUGUUGGUAGAGAAGAACGUUGGUGAGAGUGGAAAGCUCAUCAAGUGACGGUAACUACCCAGAAAGGGACGGCUAACUACGUG
RNAcentral lists this ribosomal RNA (497 nucleotides) under uncultured bacterium. Its description in RNAcentral is "partial 16S ribosomal RNA". It matches the Rfam family "Bacterial small subunit ribosomal RNA", at positions 28 to 507 of the family's 1533-position model. The record is from RNAcentral.